UACGUAGGGUGCGAGCGUUAAUCGGAAUUACUGGGCGUAAAGCGUGCGUAGGCGGUUCCUCAAGUCCGUUGUGAAAGCCCCGGGCUCAACCUGGGAAUGGCAGUGGAAACUAGGGGACUGGAAUCUGGCAGAGGGGGGUGGAAUGCCGCGUGUAGCAGUGAAAUGCGUAGAGAUGCGGCGGAACACCGAUGGCGAAGGCAGCCCCCUGGGCUGAGAUUGACGCUCAGGCACGAAAGCGUGGGGAGCAAACGGG
RNAcentral lists this ribosomal RNA (253 nucleotides) under uncultured bacterium. Its description in RNAcentral is "partial 16S ribosomal RNA". It matches the Rfam family "Bacterial small subunit ribosomal RNA", at positions 524 to 776 of the family's 1533-position model. The record is from RNAcentral.